ACGAACGCUGGCGGCAUGCCUAACACAUGCCAGUCGAACGAGACCCUCGGGUCUAGUGGCGCACGGGUGCGUAACGCGGGGGAACCUGCCCUUAGGUUCGGAAUAACUCCCCGAAAGGGGUGCUAAUACCGGAUAAUGUCUUCGGACCAAAGAUUUAUCGCCUUUGGAUGGGCCCGCGUUGGAUUAGCUAGUUGGUAGGGUAAAAGCCUACCAAGGCGACGAUCCAUAGCUGGUCUGAGAGGAUGAUCAGCCACACUGGGACUGAGACACGGCCCAGACUCCUACGGGAGGCAGCAGUGGGGAAUAUUGCACAAUCGGCGAAAUCCUGAUCCAGCUAUGCCGCGUGAGUGAUGAAGGCCUUAGAGUUGUAAAGCUCUUUUACCCGGGAUGAUAAUGACGGUACCGGAAGAAUAAGCUCCGGCUAACUCCGUG
This 432-nucleotide ribosomal RNA is filed under the name uncultured bacterium. Its description in RNAcentral is "partial 16S ribosomal RNA". It matches the Rfam family "Bacterial small subunit ribosomal RNA", at positions 29 to 507 of the family's 1533-position model. The record is from RNAcentral.